This 454-nucleotide ribosomal RNA is filed under the name uncultured bacterium. Its description in RNAcentral is "bacterial SSU rRNA". It matches the Rfam family "Bacterial small subunit ribosomal RNA", at positions 28 to 507 of the family's 1533-position model. The record is from RNAcentral.
GACGAACGCUGGCGGCGUGCCUAACACAUGCAAGUCGAACGAAGCAUAGCAAUAUGCUUAGUGGCGGACGGGUGAGUAACGCGUGAACAAUCUGCCCUGUACAAAGGAAUAGCCUCGGGAAACCGGGAUUAAAACCGUAUGACACUUUAGUAUCGCAUGAUAAGAAAGUCAAAUCGAAUAGAGGUAUGGGAUGAGUUCGCGUCUGAUUAGCUGGUUGGCGGGGUAACGGCCCACCAAGGCGACGAUCAGUAGCCGGCCUGAGAGGGUGAACGGGCCACACUGGAACUGAGACACGGUCCAGACUCCUACGGGAGGCAGCAGUGGGGAAUAUUGCACAAUGGAGGGAACUCUGAUGCAGCGACGCCGCGUGAGUGAAGAAGGUCUUCGGAUCGUAAACUCUGUCCUUGGUGAAGAAAGGACGGUAGCCAAGGAGGAAGCCCCGGCUAACUACGUG